CCGGAGGAAGGUGGGGAUGACGUCAAGUCCUCAUGGCCCUUAUGGGUAGGGCUUCACACGUCAUACAAUGGUCGGUACAGAGGGUUGCCAAGCCGCGAGGUGGAGCCAAUCCCAGAAAGCCGAUCGUAGUCCGGAUUGUUCUCUGCAACUCGAGAGCAUGAAGUCGGAAUCGCUAGUAAUCGCGGAUCAGCAUGUCGCGGUGAAUACGUUCCCGGGUCUU
Molecule: ribosomal RNA, 220 nt
Filed under: uncultured Thiobacillus sp.
Lineage: Bacteria; Pseudomonadati; Pseudomonadota; Betaproteobacteria; Nitrosomonadales; Thiobacillaceae
Description: partial 16S ribosomal RNA
Rfam family: Bacterial small subunit ribosomal RNA
Source: RNAcentral